UCCGGAUCUUUCUCUUGAAACUGCUUUAACACUUCUUGCGUCGUCUGGAUUUCACAGAUUGUUCCAAAUGUAGUUGUUUGAUUAUAAUAACGGAGGCAAUCAGCGACUCUCUUAAGAUGGUGGGUCAACUUUGCGAUCAAGAUUUAUCCAGCAAGUAAUACCUCUUACAGCCUUGGCUAGUCAAACCAGCUUCAACCAGUGAAUCUAUGGUCCUCUAAUUGGGCUUCUUUGGAGACUUGCAUCUGGUUCUGCUAUGGCUGUCAAGAUGCUUUUUCAGCAAAAAGAAAGGUGCAUAUUGAAGAAUAUUUUAUCAAGCUAUGACACCUCACACAUCAAAGCCUCUUCCCUUGUGGGUGGUGAUGCAAACUCCAACCAGAAGGAUAUCUAAAGGAUCAACCUGAACUUCUGAGGCGUUUUUGUAGACAUGAUUCCUGCUUUGGCGGGGGUUGUAAAUGGUGAUGCAAAUCUACAAGCCUGUGAUGGAUGAGUUUCUGUAAUCUAUUCCAACUAAGCAUGCCAGUGCGCAUCUGUGCUUAAAGGGUUCAUUUCGUAAAGGAAGAGUGAGAUAUUUUUGUAAUGACUCUUUAGAUGCUGUGAUUAUUGAGACCGUUACCUCUUUCAAUGCUGUUGAAAGAUAUUUGUGGCUCCAUGUCAACGCCAGGAGAAAUGACGCUCAGACAACAUCUGCUGUAGAUAUGCAAGCGAAUUAAAAGAUGAUUCCAAAAAGCCUGAGGAGCAGUCUUCCCCAGAGGUUAAAGCCACCCCUAAAAGAACGAGUUCCUCUGUUUUGCUUCUGCUGCCAAAGAACAUCAUGGAUCAUGUAGUGUUGAUGAUCGCCAUCAGAAGUUGAUAUUUUCUGUAGAUGGAAGAAAGCUGGAUCAAGCAAUUCCGUAAUUACAAGUGAAGGAAGAAAAUGAUGUGGCAAAAACUUUUGGUACGAAGUGUAUAGUAUACCAUUUAAGAAGGCUGCUGAAGUAAAGGCAAGUAGUACCGAGUCCACUGCCUUGUUGGAACUUAAAUUUCUAUUUUGCAAAGUUAUUCAGGGGAGGUUUACUCUGCUCUGGUCUGCUGACAGAACUUGCGUAUAAUCUGGAGAAGGCGGAUCCGCUGUACGAGAUUAUUUUGCUUCUGGAAAUUUUGGAGUCAUAUAUAAACAAGUUAACUUGUCAUCUGACGUCUCCAGAAAGAUAACAGCUCUAGCCCCUUCUAUUUCACAAGAAGACCAAAGUCUCAGCCAGAUAUCUAGGUACCAGACCCAUGAUAAUCUAGGUAAUGAUUGGCAGCUUGUGCGAGUUAACCCAACCUUCAGCAACAGUGAUUUAACCAUGGAAGAAGCUGAAAAAGUUUCGAUUGCAGAGAAUCCCAGCCACCCUGCUGCUGCUGGAGAUCAAUCAAGCUAUGCAGAUCACUCUAAAACUUUUUAUACUAGUGUCUCAAUUUUAUUUUGUUCUUCAAUUCCUUCUUCGAUUCACACUGAUAUUAUAAACUCUAGUGUUUCUUAUUGUUUAUUGCGUACAUUAAGUGAUUCUGAUAGUCUUAAGGUUGUUACUGUUUUCAACCCUCCCAAGUAUAAUCUGAGAUUUCAUC
Molecule: long non-coding RNA, 1587 nt
Organism: Papaver somniferum (opium poppy)
Lineage: Eukaryota; Viridiplantae; Streptophyta; Magnoliopsida; Ranunculales; Papaveraceae
Exons: 6
Source: RefSeq, a predicted model, not a curated record